This 213-nucleotide unclassified non-coding RNA is filed under the name Hevea brasiliensis (rubber tree). The record is from RNAcentral. Lineage: Eukaryota; Viridiplantae; Streptophyta; Magnoliopsida; Malpighiales; Euphorbiaceae.
GCAGGAUCCUGCUGGUAAUAUUGGAGCUCGCUGGUCGUAACCAUCUAGACAAAAGAGAAACCAGUAAUAUGAAUUGUACAAAUUCCACCUUAAAUUACUUUAAGGACGCAAAUAACAAGAAAUUACUAUAAAGCUGGAUUUAAAACAAAGGUAUGAACUCAGAGCAUCUACGUCACAGGCUUCAACAACUGACGGAAGUAUUCAGCCUGGCAA